GAUGAACGCUGGCGGCGUGCCUAAUACAUGCAAGUCGAGCGAACAGACGAGGAGCUUGCUCCUUUGACGUUAGCGGCGGACGGGUGAGUAACACGUGGAUAACCUACCUAUAAGACUGGGAUAACUUCGGGAAACCGGAGCUAAUACCGGAUAACAUGUUGAACCGCAUGGUUCAACAGUGAAAGACGGUCUUGCUGUCACUUAUAGAUGGAUCCGCGCCGCAUUAGCUAGUUGGUAAGGUAACGGCUUACCAAGGCAACGAUGCGUAGCCGACCUGAGAGAGUGAUCGGCCACACUGGAACUGAGCCACGGUCCAGACUCCUACGGGAGGCAGCAGUAGGGAAUCUUCCGCAAUGGGCGAAAGCCUGACGGAGCAACGCCGCGUGAGUGAAGAAGGUCUUCGGAUCGUAAAACUCUGUUAUUAGGGAAGAACAAAUGUGUAAGUAACUAUGCACGUCUUGACGGUACCUAAUCAGAAAGCCACGGCUAACUACGUG
RNAcentral lists this ribosomal RNA (497 nucleotides) under uncultured bacterium. Its description in RNAcentral is "partial 16S ribosomal RNA". It matches the Rfam family "Bacterial small subunit ribosomal RNA", at positions 28 to 507 of the family's 1533-position model. The record is from RNAcentral.